AGCCCACCAGCUAGCCCCACAUACAAAAACAACAAACAUUUAUUAAUAAACCCGAACGACUUACAAUGUCUAAAACAAAUCAUUUUCCCCCCUUAGUAUGGGCGACAGAAAAGGAAUGCAGGAGCUAUAGUUAAAGUACCGCAAGGGAACGCUGAAAGAGGAAGUGAAAAAAAUCAGUCAAGCGAAGAAAAGCAGAGAUUGCUCCUCGUACCUUUUGCAUCAUGAAUUAGCAAGAAGAAGUCAAGCAAAGAGAUUUUUAGUUUGGCACCCCGAAACCAAGUGAGCUACUCCAAGACAGCCUCAUAGGGCAAACCCGUCUCUGUGGCAAAAGAGUGGGAAGAUCUUUGAGUAGAGGUGACAGACCUACCGAACUUGGUUAUAGCUGGUUGUCCAGGAAUUGAAUAGGAGUUCAGCCUUUUUUCUUCUAUUACAUCACCUUUAAACUUUAAAGCACUAAAGAAGACAAAAGAGUUAGUCAAAAGGGGUACAGCCCUUUUGAAAAAGAUACAACUUUACAAGAAGGGUUAAGAUCAAACACCUCAAAAGGGGACUGUUCUAGUUGGCUUAAAAGCAGCCACCCACACAGAAAGCGUUAAAGCUCAUACACUCCCUCGCCCUCAUAUUCGGAGUCAAACACUCUUACCCCCCUACACCUACUGGACCCCUUCAUCCCCACAUGAAGGAGAUUAUGCUAAUAUGAGUAAUAAGAGACCUAAGCCUCUCUCCCUGCACAAGUGUACAUCGGAACGAACCCGCACCGAAAAUUAACGGCCUCAAUAAAGGAGAGGACUGAAACACUAUGGCUAAACCACUGGAAAAUUAUUCACAAACAUACCGUUAACCUUACACCAGAGUGCAAGCAAGGAAAGACUAAAAGAAAAAGAAGGAACUCGGCA
This 896-nucleotide ribosomal RNA is filed under the name Verulux cypselurus (swallowtail cardinalfish). RNAcentral's name for it is "partial 16S ribosomal RNA". The stretch from base 184 to 696 matches the Rfam family "Bacterial large subunit ribosomal RNA", at positions 573 to 1301 of the family's 2925-position model. The record is from RNAcentral. Lineage: Eukaryota; Metazoa; Chordata; Actinopteri; Kurtiformes; Apogonidae.